This 253-nucleotide ribosomal RNA is filed under the name uncultured bacterium. RNAcentral describes it as "partial 16S ribosomal RNA". It matches the Rfam family "Bacterial small subunit ribosomal RNA", at positions 524 to 776 of the family's 1533-position model. The record is from RNAcentral.
UACGUAGGGUGCGAGCGUUGUCCGGAAUUAUUGGGCGUAAAGAGCUCGUAGGCGGCUUGUCGCGUCGGAUGUGAAAGCCCGGGGCUUAACCCCGGGUCUGCAUUCGAUACGGGCAGACUAGAGUUCGGUAGGGGAGUCUGGAAUUCCUGGUGUAGCGGUGAAAUGCGCAGAUAUCAGGAGGAACACCGGUGGCGAAGGCGGGACUCUGGGCCGAUACUGACGCUGAGGAGCGAAAGCGUGGGGAGCGAACAGG